Molecule: ribosomal RNA, 1380 nt
Filed under: uncultured bacterium
Lineage: Bacteria
Description: 16S ribosomal RNA
Rfam family: Bacterial small subunit ribosomal RNA
Source: RNAcentral
AGAGUUUGAUCCUGGCUCAGAUUGAACGCUUUUGGCGUGCCUUACACAUGCAAGUCGAACGGCAGCGCGGGAGCUUGCUCCUGGUGGCGAGUGGCGAACGGGUGAGUAAUAUAUCGGAACGUACCCUAGAGUGGGGGAUAACGCAGCGAAAGUUGCGCUAAUACCGCAUACCAUCUACGGAUGAGGGUGGGGGAUCGCAAGACCUCAUGCUCAUGGAGCGGCCGAUAUCUGAUUAGCUAGUUGGGGGGGUAAAGGCCUACCAAGGCAUCGAUCAGUAGCUGGUCUGAGAGGACGACCAGCCACACUGGAACUGAGACACGGUCCAGACUCCUACGGGAGGCAGCAGUGGGGAAUUUUGGACAAUGGGGGCAACCCUGAUCCAGCAAUGCCGCGUGAGUGAAGAAGGCCUUCGGGUUGUAAAGCUCUUUUGUCAGGGAAGAAACGGUGAGGGCUAAUAUCCUUUGCUAAUGACGGUACCUGAAGAAUAAGCACCGGCUAACUACGUGCCAGCAGCCGCGGUAAUACGUAGGGUGCAAGCGUUAAUCGGAAUUACUGGGCGUAAAGCGUGCGCAGGCGGUUAUGUAAGUCAGAUGUGAAAUCCCCGGGCUCAACCUGGGAAUGGCAUUUGAGACUGCAUGGCUAGAGUGUGUCAGAGGGGGGUAGAAUUCCACGUGUAGCAGUGAAAUGCGUAGAGAUGUGGAGGAAUACCGAUGGCGAAGGCAGCCCCCUGGGAUAACACUGACGCUCAUGCACGAAAGCGUGGGGAGCAAACAGGAUUAGAUACCCUGGUAGUCCACGCCCUAAACGAGGUUCUAUUAGUUGUCGGGAACUUAAAUGUCUUGGUAACGCAGCUAACGCGUGAAGUUAGACCGCCUGGGGAGUACGGUCGCAAGAUUAAAAACUCAAAGGAAUUGACGGGGACCCGCACAAGCGGUGGAUGAUGUGGAUUAAUUCGAUGCAACGCGAAAAACCUUACCUACCCUUGGCAUGUACGGAACCUCUGAGAGAUUAGAGGGUGCUCGAAAGAGAGCCGUAACACAGGUGCUGCAUGGCUGUCGUCAGCUCGUGUCGUGAGAUGUUGGGUUAAGUCCCGCAACGAGCGCAACCCUUGUCAUUAGUUGCUACGAAAGGGCACUCUAAUGAGACUGCCGGUGACAAACCGGAGGAAGGUGGGGAUGACGUCAAGUCCUCAUGGCCCUUAUGGGUAGGGCUUCACACGUCAUACAAUGGUACAUACAGAGGGCCGCCAACCCGCGAGGGGGAGCUAAUCCCAGAAAGUGUAUCGUAGUCCGGAUUGUAGUCUGCAACUCGACUACAUGAAGUUGGAAUCGCUAGUAAUCGCGGAUCAGCAUGUCGCGGUGAAUACGUUCCCGGGUCUUG